This 83-nucleotide transfer RNA is filed under the name Promethearchaeota archaeon. Its description in RNAcentral is "Candidatus Lokiarchaeota archaeon (microbial mat metagenome) tRNA-Ser". It matches the Rfam family "tRNA". From Rfam's summary of the family: Transfer RNA (tRNA) molecules are approximately 80 nucleotides in length. Their secondary structure includes four short double-helical elements and three loops (D, anti-codon, and T loops). Further hydrogen bonds mediate the characteristic L-shaped molecular structure. tRNAs have two regions of fundamental functional importance: the anti-codon, which is responsible for specific mRNA codon recognition, and the 3' end, to which the tRNAs corresponding amino acid is attached (by aminoacyl-tRNA synthetases). tRNAs cope with the degeneracy of the genetic code in two manners: having more than one tRNA (with a specific anti-codon) for a particular amino acid; and 'wobble' base-pairing, i.e. permitting non-standard base-pairing at the 3rd anti-codon position. The record is from RNAcentral. Lineage: Archaea; Promethearchaeati; Promethearchaeota.
GCUCAGGUCGCAUAGCUUGGUAGUGCGCUGGUCUGCUAAACCAGUGUCCAACGGACUCGUGGGUUCGAAUCCCACCCUGAGCG